UGGGGAAUUUUGGACAAUGGGCGCAAGCCUGAUCCAGCCAUGCCGCGUGCGGGAAGAAGGCCUUCGGGUUGUAAACCGCUUUUGUCAGGGAAGAAAUCUUCUGAGUUAAUACCUCGGGAGGAUGACGGUACCUGAAGAAUAAGCACCGGCUAACUACGUGCCAGCAGCCGCGGUAAUACGUAGGGUGCAAGCGUUAAUCGGAAUUACUGGGCGUAAAGCGUGCGCAGGCGGUUUUGUAAGACAGAGGUGAAAUCCCCGGGCUCAACCUGGGAACUGCCUUUGUGACUGCAAGGCUUGAGUGCGGCAGAGGGGGAUGGAAUUCCGCGUGUAGCAGUGAAAUGCGUAGAUAUGCGGAGGAACACCGAUGGCGAAGGCAAUCCCCUGGGCCUGCACUGACGCUCAUGCACGAAAGCGUGGGGAGCAAACAGGAUUAGAUACCCUGGUAGUCCACGCCCUAAAACGAUGUCAACUGGUUGUUGGGAAGGUUCCUUCUCAGUAACGUAGCUAACGCGUGAAGUUGACCGCCUGGGGAGUACGGCCGCAAGGUUGAAAACUCAAAGGAAUUGACGGGGUCAUAGCUGUUU
Molecule: ribosomal RNA, 584 nt
Filed under: uncultured bacterium
Lineage: Bacteria
Description: partial 16S ribosomal RNA
Rfam family: Bacterial small subunit ribosomal RNA
Source: RNAcentral